RNA transcript from Cucurbita maxima (winter squash), 1267 nucleotides. It is a transcript of the gene named mitoferrin-like, with no coding region annotated. Lineage: Eukaryota; Viridiplantae; Streptophyta; Magnoliopsida; Cucurbitales; Cucurbitaceae. The record is from RefSeq and is a predicted model, not a curated record. The transcript is spliced from 3 exons.
AAAAAUAAAACAUGCUCUGUGCCCAUUUGUUUCAAUCCCCUGUUAAUGCCAAUUUCAAUCUACCAUGACAACAACCGUCACGCACUCUCCCGAUUGUCGCCCUGAAAUUUCAGUAUUCCCGCCCACUCGCGAUGGCCUGUCCUUCUGGCAGUUCAUGAUCGCCGGAUCAAUUGCAGGGUCUGUCGAGCACAUGGCCAUGUUUCCAGUGGACACACUCAAGACCCGAAUCCAAGCCCUUGCCGGAUCAUCCACCCUCCGACAAGCACUCGCUUCGAUUCUCAAAUCGGAAGGUCCGGCCGGGCUCUACCGUGGAAUCGGAGCAAUGGGUCUCGGAGCAGGACCUGCACACGCCGUAUACUUCUCUGUAUACGAAUUCUGCAAACAAAGAUUUUCGAUUGGGAAUCCCAACAACCCAUUAGCCCACGCCAUUUCUGGAGUCUGCGCAACGGUGGCGAGCGACGCCGCGUUGACGCCGAUGGAUGUGGUGAAACAGAGGCUGCAGUUGAAGAGCAGUCCUUAUAAGGGAGUGAGGGACUGUGCUAGGAGGAUUUUGGUUGAGGAAGGAAUUGGGGCGUUCUAUACUUCUUAUUGGACCACGGUUUUGAUGAAUGCCCCGUACACGGCUGCCCAUUUUGCCAUUUAUGAAGCUGUGAAAAGGGGAUUGAAGGAGGGCUCGCCGGGAAGCGAUGGCGGGGAGGGGUUGGUUGUCCAUGUUACGGCUGGUGCGGCUGCUGGGUCUCUUGCUGCUGGUCUUACAACGCCAUUAGACGUAGUGAAAACUCGGCUGCAGUGCCAGGGAGUGUGUGGGUGCGACAGAUUGUCAAGCAGCUCAAUAACAAAUGUGGUUAGGCAUGUGGUGAAGAAGGAUGGGAAGAGCGGGUUGAUGAGAGGGUGGAUUCCAAGGAUGCUGUUCCAUGCGCCUGCUGCUGCCAUUGCCUGGUCCACUUAUGAAGCCUCAAAGACAUUGUUCCAACACCUCCACAAUGACAACAAUUAGAAGCUGCAUGCAACCAUUUAAACCACUUCACUCAUUAGGAGAAGGACUGAAGAAAGAGGUGUCUAUGGUUGAAGGAGCAUGUAGGAGAGGUGUUGGGAGUGAGGGGGCGUGGUCUCGAUUGAGGAUGCACCGGAAUUCUCGCAUUUUCUGGCCAUUAGUUCUUGGAGAUUUCACGAUACAUGUCUUUGGUUGAUUUAGACGCAUUCUCCGGCCGACUGCUUGACACGUGCUUGCAACUUAUUCAUUGUCAGCUUGCACAAGCCUAGAAUC